RNAcentral lists this ribosomal RNA (494 nucleotides) under uncultured bacterium. RNAcentral describes it as "partial 16S ribosomal RNA". It matches the Rfam family "Bacterial small subunit ribosomal RNA", at positions 28 to 507 of the family's 1533-position model. The record is from RNAcentral.
GACGAACGCUGGCGGCGUGCUUAACACAUGCAAGUCGAACGGUGAAGCGCCUUCCUUUUUGGUGGGUGUGGAUGAGUGGCGAACGGGUGAGUAACACGUGAGUAACCUGCCCCCUUCUUCUGGAUAACCGCAUGAAGGUGUGGCUAAUACGGGAUAUUCUGGGUCUGUCGCAUGAUGGGUCUGGGAAAGAUAUUGUUUCGGUGGGGGAUGGGCUCGCGGCCUAUCAGCUUGUUGGUGGGGUGAUGGCCUACCAAGGCGGUGACGGGUAGCCGGCCUGAGAGGGUGGACGGUCACACUGGGACUGAGACACGGCCCAGACUCCUACGGGAGGCAGCAGUGGGGAAUAUGGCACAAUGGGCGAAAGCCUGAUGCAGCGACGCCGCGUGAGGGAUGGAGGCCUUCGGGUUGUGAACCUCUUUCGCCAGUGAAGCAGGCCUGCCUCGUUUGUGGGUGGGUCGACGGUAGCUGGAUAAGAAGCGCCGGCUAACUACGUG